GAAAUUGUUGUUGCAACAUACACCAAAGAUCAUGAAGAACAGCAAUAUGUUUGUGAUUUUUUCCCUGACGAUUUUUUUGACUCUACUAAGCCCUUCUCUAGGUCAAGUGAAGUUUUGCCCAGGAAGUUUUACCGCAGAUGGUGUAUGUGGGAGCAUUAGUUGUGGAAAUUUGGCAUUAUUUCAUUGGCCAGCAAGCUCUAUGCCUCAUAGUUGUGUAUGUGCUGAUGCUGGGGCAGGCAAAAGCCUUUGUACUUGUCAAAUCGUUUGUUAGAAUGACUAUCAUUUUAAUGUAAUAAACGGUUUUUAGAAUGGUUAUUAUUUUAA
Ipomoea nil (Japanese morning glory) is the source of this 324-nucleotide long non-coding RNA. RefSeq lists it as uncharacterized. Lineage: Eukaryota; Viridiplantae; Streptophyta; Magnoliopsida; Solanales; Convolvulaceae. The record is from RefSeq and is a predicted model, not a curated record. The transcript has 2 exons.